UGUACCUUGUCACAGACAAAGUAAUAGUGGCUGGCUCGCGCCCCUAAAAGCCCUCGCGCCCUCUGUAGUGCCGGUGCACGUGCGCGAUGUGGGUCGCAAACUUUUGAGCGCGCGCCGAUUUUGCCCGCCAAUUUCACUUUGCCUUGGAGUCACACACCGCGCCGUCGUAAUGGAGGGGACGGUGUCAAGGACAUUGUUAGGUUAGCACGUAAAAAACAUCCGUAGACAUAUCUGAAGGGCCAUUUAGAGUAAAACUGUCAACUGAAACCAAAGAAGUAAAACCUGUCGAGGUUUAACACCAUAAAAGGAAGGACAGGUGUAUUUAACACAGAGAUAAGUAAAUUCUGUCAUUUCGUAUAUUUUUUUUUAAUCGUCGCUAGAUAAUGAAUGGGAAAAAUAAGCCCGUGGGGUGUUAUCUAUCUGUUAGCUUGCAGGUAUAUCAGGGCAGUUCCAGUGCUAUGGAUGUGCAGUGUUUCCUGUGGAACGAGAGGGGAGAAAUGUGUAGCUACUGAAAAGAGCAGACAACAGACAAUUUGACAGUUACAACUCCGCUUUUUUGCAAAUUAAGUCUUCACAAUUUCCCCGUCUCCAGCGCUUCACUGAACAACAUAACAACCUAAAUGUGGGGCGUCCUAAGCACCAACCAUUCGCCAGCAUUAUUUUCUCCCGUAUUCCCUGCCCUCCUGUGAUAAGAUUGUCAGUAUUUCUUUUUACUGCUUCGUCCCUCAGGUGAACAUAAUUGUGGUGAAUCUCCAUGAGAUUUUUUUUAAUAUAUAACAAUAAACUCAGAGGGAACUUAACUUCUCUUCAGUAGCAGACCUUGGCAGUUUCAAUUGGCCACAUGUUGCUUAGCUACAGAGCUGAUUAUAUAUUUUUUCUGUGUCCUGUUU
Long non-coding RNA from Brienomyrus brachyistius, 890 nucleotides. RefSeq lists it as uncharacterized. The record is from RefSeq and is a predicted model, not a curated record. The transcript is spliced from 3 exons. NCBI's taxonomy places the organism in Eukaryota, Metazoa, Chordata, Actinopteri, Osteoglossiformes, Mormyridae.